ACUCAAAUGAAUAGACGGGGACCCGCACAAGCGGUGGAUGAUGUGGAUUAAUUCGAUGCAACGCGAACAACCUUACCUACCCUUGACAUGUCUGGAAGCCUGCUGAAAGGCGGGUGUGCCCGAAAGGGAACCGGAACACAGGUGCUGCAUGGCUGUCGUCAGCUCGUGUCGUGAGAUGUUGGGUUAAGUCCCGCAACGAGCGCAACCCUUGUCCUUAGUUGCUACGCAAGGGCACUCUAAGGAGACUGCCGGUGACAAACCGGAGGAAGGUGGGGAUGACGUCAAGUCCUCAUGGCCCUUAUGGGUAGGGCUUCACACGUCAUACAAUGGUCGGUACAGAGGGUAGCCAACCCGCGAGGGGGAGCCAAUCCCAGAAAGCCGAUCGUAGUCCGGAUCGCAGUCUGCAACUCGACUGCGUGAAGUCGGAAUCGCUAGUAAUCGCGGAUCAGCAUGUCGCGGUGAAUACGUUCCCGGGUCUUGUACACACCGCCCGU
RNAcentral lists this ribosomal RNA (494 nucleotides) under uncultured bacterium. Its description in RNAcentral is "partial 16S ribosomal RNA". It matches the Rfam family "Bacterial small subunit ribosomal RNA", at positions 899 to 1397 of the family's 1533-position model. The record is from RNAcentral.